This 799-nucleotide long non-coding RNA is filed under the name Mytilus galloprovincialis (Mediterranean mussel). Lineage: Eukaryota; Metazoa; Mollusca; Bivalvia; Mytilida; Mytilidae. The record is from RNAcentral.
CACAAAAGAUAAUUGUUUUUAAACAGCUUGGUCCCAUUGAUCUGAAACAACGAAACAAUAAAACAUAGAAACCAAAAUAUAGCAAUCCACUAAUAUAAACCAAAACAUGAUAAAAUUUAUUCAACACGCAGAAACAAACAUAGUCAGAAUCUCACUUCAUUUUGAAACAAGUCAAUGAAACAAGUUAUAGCAAUACACUAACCAAAACAUGAUUAAGAGUUAUUCAACACAAAAUAAAACAUUGACAAAAUACCACUUUAUUUAGAAAGGAUUAUUAUUAUUUUUAGCAAUACCUUAUCCAAAACAUAAUUAAGAUUUAUUCAACACAAAAAAAAAAAUUGCUGUCUCACUUUAUUUUGAGACAAUGACAACAAUUAUACUUAUAAGAAAACACUUGCUUACAUAGUUAUUAAACACAAAACCAAUUAAGAUUGGGUGCGAACAUGUAGGGUGUGAAAGUGAAAGGGGUGAAAAUGAGUGGGCGCAAACGUGAAUGGAAGCAAACGGACUCAGAUUCAGACUAUGUACCAGUGAGAAAUAUACAAGCCUUUCUACGGUAUUUAUUUGUACAAUUCAGCUAGUCUUGACCUAUUCAUUUGUCUUAAAAAACCAGCCAGUUGUCACCUUCACUUCACACACACACACAUAUACGAAUAUCAAUUAUAUGCUUACGAUACAUGUUGCAUUGUUAAACUAAUUACGGUAUGUGAAAAUCAAGACUUGCAUAAAAACUAUCCCAAUAUUAGAGACAGUGGCGUCAUUUUUCUUCAGAGCUUUCAGCUCUUUGAUUAACAUGUUU